Molecule: ribosomal RNA, 305 nt
Filed under: uncultured bacterium
Lineage: Bacteria
Description: bacterial SSU rRNA
Rfam family: Bacterial small subunit ribosomal RNA
Source: RNAcentral
UUACCUACGGGACGCAGCAGUGGGGAAUAUUGGGCAAUGGGCGCAAGCCUGACCCAGCAACGCCGCGUGAAGGAAGAAGGCUCUCGGGUUGUAAACUUCUUUUAUCAGGGACGAAGCAAGUGACGGUACCUGAUGAAUAAGCCACGGCUAACUACGUGCCAGCAGCCGCGGUAAUACGUAGGUGGCAAGCGUUGUCCGGAUUUACUGGGUGUAAAGGGCGUGUAGCCGGGCCGGCAAGUCAGAUGUGAAAUCCCAAGGCUCAACCUUGGAACUGCAUUUGAAACUGUUGGUCUUGAGUAUCGGAG